RNAcentral lists this ribosomal RNA (468 nucleotides) under uncultured bacterium. RNAcentral describes it as "partial 16S ribosomal RNA". It matches the Rfam family "Bacterial small subunit ribosomal RNA", at positions 28 to 507 of the family's 1533-position model. The record is from RNAcentral.
GACGAACGCUGGCGGCGUGCUUAACACAUGCAAGUCGAACGGAAAGGCCCUGCUUUUGUGGGGUGCUCGAGUGGCGAACGGGUGAGUAACACGUGAGUAACCUGCCCUUGACUUUGGGAUAACUUCAGGAAACUGGGGCUAAUCCCGGAUAGGAGCUCCUGCUGCAUGGUGGGGGUUGGAAAGUUUCGGCGGUUGGGGAUGGACUCGCGGCUUAUCAGCUUGUUGGUGGGGUAGUGGCUUACCAAGGCUUUGACGGGUAGCCGGCCUGAGAGGGUGACCGGCCACAUUGGGACUGAGAUAAGACCCAGACUCCUACGGGAGGCAGCAGUGGAGAAUAGUGUACAAUGGGCGGAAGCCUGAUGCAGCAACGCCGCGUGCGGGAUGACGGCCUGCGGGUUGUAAACCGCAUUCGCCUGAGACGAAGCGUGAGUGACGGUAAUGGGUAAAGAAGCACCGGCUAACUACGUG